UCAAUAAAUAAAUUAUCGGGGGGGGGGGGGGGGGGGGAAGGAAAGUCAGAAGGUAGAAAAGUGGAUGUUGUCUAUUGUCUGUUUUUCUUGAGACUUUAAAAUGUGUUUUGUUUUUUUUUUUCCCCUAAAUUUAUAUGCUCGUUAAUAUCUGAAUAUUGUCUUGCAGUGUUCCAGACUGAUUGAAAUGUUUGAAAAUUUAAUCAUUGGCUCUCUUCCACCCUGUAUAGAUGAAAUGCUGGAGAAUACAGCAGGGAGCUGAUGAGUACAGGGGCCCACUGGUGGAUUACACAGAUGCUCAGGGUGGACAUAAUGCUUGCUUCAAUCUGUUUUGAGCAACAGGUCAACUAAAAUGGUUUUCUACUGUGGAGAUGGAAAAAGAGAGGGAGGUAAACAAAUUUGGUGAGCAUUGGCGAAGGUCUUUACAGCAGGCAUAAGCUAUGUGAACAGGAGGCAGACAAUGAUACUGGUUUAGGAAAUGCCACAAAUUCAUUGUUAUAGUCUUGAAAUAAACAGUACUUGCCCCAUUCCA
This 529-nucleotide long non-coding RNA is filed under the name Coturnix japonica (Japanese quail). RNAcentral's name for it is "lncRNA (ENSCJPG00005007743.1)". The record is from RNAcentral. Lineage: Eukaryota; Metazoa; Chordata; Aves; Galliformes; Phasianidae.